This is a non-coding RNA of Pelodiscus sinensis (Chinese soft-shelled turtle), 3291 nucleotides long. NCBI's taxonomy places the organism in Eukaryota, Metazoa, Chordata, Testudines, Trionychidae. The record is from RefSeq and is a predicted model, not a curated record.
GGGAACAGCCAGCAUUUCAGCGUUACAGACUCUCAUACAUUGGGCUACUAUUAUGAACCUAUUGCAUUGUACAUUAGUGCCUUAGCUAUAGUAUGAUUUCCAGCUUUAUCAUUAUUGUGAUUAAGUAACAGAUUAAUCCCUUUUGGGGGGUUUCCCUUAAUACUUAGCCAAUAAUAAGAACUGCCCAACAGUGUGAAGGAUAUUGAUAAUCAAAGGCAAUAUAAGCAAAAUUCUUAACAGCUCCAAAUGUAGCCACUCUAUGUUCUUUACACUAAGUAUAUUUGUUCUAGAGUAGCUAAUAUUUGAGAUGCAUGAACACUAGGGCUCCAAGUAACAAGUGAAUUCCUAUACUGACCCAGAGCAUGUGCCAGCGCUUCUGCUGUAGCAGCUAGUUCCAACAUAAAUGGUUAUGAAUAGUCAGGCUGAACCAACAUAGAAACUGAAGCUAAUGUCUUCUUCAAUUUAGUGCCUGCUUCAGUUAACUGUAGGUUUACACUAUCUUGUCUUAUGAUUUUAAUUGCAGUAAAUUAAUAAUUUAACAAAUAUUUUAGAAAUCAUUUUGCAAAAUAUUAAUACAAUGUUUACAGAAAAAGCGUAUUAUUAACUGAUUAAUGUGGACCUUUUACAUUUUUUAUCCCCCUCACUUGGAAAGUUAUGCCACAGGAAUAACAACUGAUUCACCUAAAGGAUGAACUGUUUACAACUUUUCCUCUCAGCAGGAUUACAUUAUUCAUCACAGUGGGAUUCUCUAUAUUUUGUGCUCUUCCAGAUUGACAACUGUGCUAUAGGGACUGCUAAGGUCACAUUAUAUAUUUUUGUGUUCAACAGGACAAACAUGUUUACAAUAUAUAACAAAAUAUGAAUAGCUUUACAAUUUAUAAACUAAUAAAGGUCUUUUAAUCUCUAACUGAAAAUGUGUGAUAUAAAAAUAUUUUUAUUUUGUGAUAAUUUAUGUUCACAUUUUUGUUACAAAUAAACAUAAAACUCAAAAGAAAAAUUUCAAGCUAGUUUCCAUUGUUCAGAGCCAGUCCAUUGUGGUCCAUCCCUCCUGCUGCCAUUCUGGGAUAGAACCACAUCAUCAUCCUAGUGAAGAGGGCUGUAGCUGUGGUGAUUGUCGAGGUGAAAGCACGGGCUUCGGAGAAGUCUGAAAGGACCAUGGAGAAACUACCGACUGGACUCAAAAGUAUUCUGGCAAACCAUUCAUUGUCUUAGUAGGGGUUUGUGGGAUGUUGCCCUGGCUGUUCUUAGCAAGGGUGGUGAAGCACUGACCUCGACUGAGGAGAGAUAGAAGGAGCACUUUGAGGAACUCCUCAACCUGGUGGACAUGCCCCCCUUUCAGGAGACAGUGCCAGAAACCCACAGUGAAAUCAGAUCUCUUUCUGUUUUUGAAGUUGCUACAAUAAUAAUGUGCCUUUGCAGCAGCGGUGUAUGAGAUUUGUCCAGAUAUCUGGAAAUCGGUGAACAAUGUCUAAGUAUUGUGGUUAACAUGUUGCAUGGAAGGCAGGGGCAAUAUCUUUGGACCUGAAAACUGGUACCCAUCUUUAAGAAAGGAGACCAGCGAGUGUAUUCCACCUUUGGGGGGAGGGAGGAGCAGGGAAGAGGGAAGAAAAAAAAAAAAUCACACUGCUCAGCCUCUUCAGCUAAGACUAUGGCAGGGUAUUGAAGAGGAGGGUACACCCAUUAUUUAAACCUUGGCUUCAGGAAGAACAAUGCAGAUUCAGUACCAGCCAUGGAAAAACAGACCAGCUCUUUGCUCUCAUGCAGAUGUUAGAGAGGUCAUGAGCGUUUGCUAAUCUGGUCUAUCUUUGUUUUGUAGAUCUGGAGAAAAUAUAUGACCAUAUUCUUGGAGAUGUCUUGUGGGAAGUGGUGCAAGACUAUGAGGUGCCAAUGCCACGUUUGUCCUGCUAUCUUGUCCUGCUAUUCAUGAACUGGUCUGAAAACACUCGGGAAUCCAGAAGGAGCUGAAAACUGUUGCAGAAGCAAGAAAAAUUAUAAAGAGAUGGUUACAUGAUACAGAACAUACAACAUAUAAAAUAAGACUGUGAGCUGAUGGACACAUUUAAGUUAUUCACAUUCCCAAGCUGCAAUUUUACUUGAACAUUUUCUCUGUUUCUCGCAAAACUUAACAUAAAUGUUUUCAUGGAUCUGGAUGGUGAGAAGAGUCCAACAACGUAUUUAUCCUUCCAUGAUUUAAACUCAAAACUUUUUAACAAACAAUUUGAGAGGUCUAUAAACCAAGAAAAUUACCAGUGGCCAGCAUUUUAACAGAAGAGUUCUCUGGGAUGAGAAGAGGGAGAACACAAAUCAAGCUCAUCAUUCUCUUCUUCUCAAAAAGGCAACUGGGGAGAGUGCAACAACAGGGCCAGUGUCCUUACAUUUUUAAAUUCUCUAUUUGGCAUAUUACGAUACAUUUUGUCUUCCUAUGACACGCAGUCUAUGUUUCUCACUCUCAUAAUACAGUAAGUGAUUUUUAUGAAGAACAAAUACUGAGGCUGCCACUUGCCCACAACUUUUUAAAUUCUACUUUUAACGGUUUGCAGGAUUAACUCCUUUUAACUUGUGUUUACGGGACAAGUUCAUUACAUAUAAUUCUUCAAUACAAACUCACUUUUUAAGGGAGUUUUUGUAUUUCCAGUUCACAUUACUCUUAAAAGUCUUUUCUACCACAUCAUCAGCUGCUGCCCUUCAGACUUUUCUAUCAUAGCCCCCUCUAUGGGAGAUAAUAAACUGUUUAACAUAGUCAUAAAGAAGGAAUGAGAACGUGUUUUCUUACCUUUGUUAUUUUCUUCAAUACCAUAACUAGGAGCUCUCUUCAACUUCCUAUGCCUUUUUAAUACUCCAAAAGUCUUAGGUCACAAUCCCAAAAAACCCAGAAUUGGCAAUAAGACAUCUUAGACUUUUCCACAUCCAGGGAAGCCAAUGUUAGAAGUGUAAAGUAGAACACAAGAGUCACAAGCCCAACCAAUUUAGGCGACCUCUGGCCUGUAUUUCUCAGUCCUGUUCCUUCAAUUUCUGAUCCAAUAUUUUUCCAAUUUAAGCCUUGUUCACCUUUCUCCAAUCAACAUUAAGCAUUUGUUUUAGGCAACCUGUACAAUAUGCAUGCCCAUGCUUCAAUUUACACAGCUUUUGCUGUUUGUCAUUUUUUUGUUCCUGAGUGUUCCUUGUAAAGAAGUUUCUUGUAAUUAGAGGUUUAUAUGCUUGUUACUAGGGAUGUUCAAAUCUAGGGGGAUUACAUGCAGGAGGGGGGAAGGAAUAGAUGGAUUCACAAAGGGCAAGUCAUGCCAGACCAAU